UACGAGGGGUGCAAGCGUUAUUCGGAAUUAUUGGGCGUAAAGGGUGCGUAGACGGCGUAUUAAGUCAACUGUUAAAUUCCUCGGCCUAACUGGGGACCAGCGGUAGAUACUGAUAUGCUAGAGGAUGGAAGAGAGAAGUGGAAUUCUCGGAGUAGCGGUAAAAUGCGUAGAUAUCGAGAGGAACACCAAUGGCGAAGGCAGCUUCUUGGUCCAUUUCUGACGUUGAGGCACGAAAGCGUGGGGAGCAAACAGG
RNAcentral lists this ribosomal RNA (253 nucleotides) under uncultured bacterium. RNAcentral's name for it is "partial 16S ribosomal RNA". It matches the Rfam family "Bacterial small subunit ribosomal RNA", at positions 524 to 776 of the family's 1533-position model. The record is from RNAcentral.